AGCAGGAACAUGUUUCAGAUGGGACUCGAGGUCCUGGAGCCCAUCCUGACCCUCUGGGUUGGAAUUUCUGACUCUCUUCUCCGCCUUGACUCAGAAUAGGAAACCGUAUCCUGACCGCGUGUUGCUUUUUAUAGAAUUAAACUUUCUUGCCAACUUCCUCCAGAGAUCAUCCCUCAUCGGCUCUAAACGAUACGCCAAUCAUCAGCUGGGAGUGAGGGGAGCGCUGACCUGUGUGCCCCAAACACAACCGAGGCCCAGAGCACAAGACAGACAGCGGGGACGGCGUCUGGCGCGGGUACCUGGCCUGGUGUCCCAGGCAAAAAGAGAGUGUCAAGGAGAAGGCAUAACAUGUCUGACUCCAUUAUACUGACACACCAAGUCAGAACUUCAACUCAAGAGACUUCCCAAAACAGACAUGACACAGAAACACACUGUUGGAAGAAAUUUCCCUUCCUUCUGUGGACAUACUGGAAUAGGAUGCCAUCCGUGUGACUCCCUCUCGGGGUGAGUAUGGCCAGGCCAUGCCAUUAACACCCAUCCAGUCUCCUGACAUUGCACGUUGUCACCGUGACAUCAUAUCUACUGAAACAACACAUCCUCCUUCCUUGGAAUAAAAAGAUCUUUUCAGCCCUAACCGGUUUGGCUCAGUGGAUAGAGCAUUGGCCUGUGGACUCAAGGGUCCCAGGUUCGAUUCCUGGUCAAGAGUAUGUACCUUGGUUGCGGGCACAUACCCAGUGGGGAGUGUGCAGGAGGCAGCUGAUCGAUGUUUCUCUCUCAUUGAUGUUUCCUGCUCUCUAUCCCUCUCCCUUCCUCUCUGUAAAAAAUCAAUAAUAAUAAUCAAAAAGAUCUUUUCAUAAGACUUA
Long non-coding RNA from Eptesicus fuscus (big brown bat), 863 nucleotides. RefSeq lists it as uncharacterized. The record is from RefSeq and is a predicted model, not a curated record. NCBI's taxonomy places the organism in Eukaryota, Metazoa, Chordata, Mammalia, Chiroptera, Vespertilionidae. The transcript has 2 exons.